GGUGUACAGACAGGAAAGGUAGAGCCAGUAUUGGCAAAGAUCCUGAUGGAAAUUUAUGGUUUAGUUUUUUGUUGUUUUUUUUUCUUUCUUUUUUUCCCCAAGAUAGGAGAGACUGAAGGAUGGAUGGAUGGAUAAGAGACUUUGGACAUUCUGGACUUUGUGGAGAAGAAAGGGUCCAGAGGCAGGCAGAAACACACCAGCAGUGAAAAAAGCAAAAUGAAGAAACUGAGACGGAAAAGUUAAGUGACUUGUCUCCAGGAUCCCACAACUAAUAACCAAGAAGCAACCUUGAGAUGGAUGUGACCAGAAUCAGAGGUGAUUUUAUCAGUUCCAGUGAUCUGCAGGUCUUUAUG
Molecule: long non-coding RNA, 353 nt
Filed under: Monodelphis domestica (gray short-tailed opossum)
Lineage: Eukaryota; Metazoa; Chordata; Mammalia; Didelphimorphia; Didelphidae
Description: lncRNA (ENSMODG00000038375.1)
Source: RNAcentral